This is a non-coding RNA of Mus caroli (Ryukyu mouse), 855 nucleotides long. NCBI's taxonomy places the organism in Eukaryota, Metazoa, Chordata, Mammalia, Rodentia, Muridae. The record is from RefSeq and is a predicted model, not a curated record.
AGGGAGGAGCGGCACGAGCGGGCUGCAAAGGGGCGGGAGCGGAGAACUUUCUAGAGAAGCGGUUAAACGGGUUGAGGCUCUUGGACUGAGGGUACUGGAGUGGUUUGGUUUUUUUGUUUGUGUCGUUUUUGUUAAGAUUUGCUUUUCUGGUUGAUGGCCCCUAGGAGUGCCCUCCUCUCCUACACCAGGACCUCUGGGAUCACAAUCUUCCCUAUGUCGUCCCGCCCCACCCCCACCCCCUCCCUUACCCCACCCCUCCGCCCGCGUCUAAGCGAUUUUUCCAGAUCCUUCUCUAUCCUCAGGACUCCCAAGUCCGGGCCUGCCUGGUGGCCGGCCCUGCUCACCCAGGCCCACAGAGUAAUAGCUGGAGACAGGCAGUCGGAUGUGAAGUGGCAAAGAUCGGCCUCCCGUGAUUGUGCCACAGAUGCCCAUGGUCCCAGGUGUGGGCACCUGAGCAGUGUGGGAAAGAGAGGUCGAGGGAGUGAAAGUGUGGGCCCAGGGGGGACAGUUUCAGCCCAGGUGUACAGAUCGGACACAACUUUGCCCUCCCUGCAGCCUGGCAGGCCCACCGCAAAAAUGCCAUGAGCAGAUUUAUAAGAGCCAAAGACUUAUAAGUGGAGGUGAAUACGCAGGAAGGUUUUCUCAACCCGCUCGCUGCUCCUAUGAGAUGCCUGUGGAGUUCCGAGUCUGUGUGGCUAAAACCAUGAAGUUCUAAUUACUGGAACAGUGCUGGCUUGAUCUGCUGCUGGUUUGAUGGAAGAUCUGUCUGGAGAGGUCCUGACUCUGCCCAACAGAUUAGAUUAGUACUCCAGUUAUACAGUCUGAACGGCGGAGGCACAGGAGAGAGAGGAACAA